UACGUAGGGGGCAAGCGUUAUCCGGAUUUACUGGGUGUAAAGGGAGCGUAGACGGAUGGACAAGUCUGAUGUGAAAGGCUGGGGCUCAACCCCGGGACUGCAUUGGAAACUGCCCGUCUUGAGUGCCGGAGAGGCAAGCGGAAUUCCUAGUGUAGCGGUGAAAUGCGUAGAUAUUAGGAGGAACACCAGUGGCGAAGGCGGCUUACUGGACGGUAACUGACGUUGAGGCUCGAAAGCGUGGGGAGCAAACAGG
RNAcentral lists this ribosomal RNA (253 nucleotides) under Blautia luti. RNAcentral describes it as "partial 16S ribosomal RNA". It matches the Rfam family "Bacterial small subunit ribosomal RNA", at positions 524 to 776 of the family's 1533-position model. The record is from RNAcentral. Lineage: Bacteria; Bacillati; Bacillota; Clostridia; Lachnospirales; Lachnospiraceae.